AAGGAAAAGGAAGCACGUUUAGCUUCUUUAUUUAGUUUUGAGAGGUCUUGAAAUAAGUCAUGGAGAACGUUUAAGAAACCCGUAUGACAAUAGGGAACUGACGCAGAGUCGCUAGGACUCAAGGAAGUGAUUCUUUUUCACUAGGGUUUUAGUUCGAAUACAGUUUGGCUUCAUUACAGACCAUUGAUAAGAGUAUACAUAUACAAGUUACAUUUAUAGUGUACGGGGCCUUAGCUCAGCUGGGAGAGCGCCUGCUUUGCACGCAGGAGGUCAGCGGUUCGAUCCCGCUAGGCUCCAUUAAAACAGGAUACUAACAGACGGUUCGGUUUACCGAAAACUUCUGUAGAAAAAUAGGAAAUCGAUGCUGUGUGUUUAGCACACAAGGAGAUUUAUCUUUUUUCCUAAGAAGUUAGUCUGGUGUUCAACUUUGUAGAUCUUGUUUUAAUUGAUAUUAGCAUACAACUUUAAUAUCAAAACCUUGUCCAUUGAAAAUUGAAUAACUAUAUCACAUUCCGCAAUCAAAAAAGAUUGUAAGAAAGUAACAAGAAAUAAACCGAAACGCUGUGAUAACGAGUUUAAAAAAUAA
This 586-nucleotide transfer RNA is filed under the name Streptococcus equi subsp. zooepidemicus. The stretch from base 225 to 297 matches the Rfam family "tRNA". The record is from RNAcentral. Lineage: Bacteria; Bacillati; Bacillota; Bacilli; Lactobacillales; Streptococcaceae.